GAUAGAAGUCUGCUGCACUGCCUGUCUCGAGGAGUCGUGACUCAGAGCAAGUUGGACUCACUGACCAGCAAACAGACACGAGACCUCAGCCAUGCACUCAGUUUUCCCAAGGUGCAUGCAGUGGUGUACUGCACAUGCUCAGAGAGGCCCGAGGAGAAUGAAGUUCUUGUGCAGAGUGUGCUGGAGAGAGCAGAAAUCCGCCCAAAACUCAUACAUUUCAGACUGAUCCCCCCAGCUGUGGGCUGUGGGGCAGAGCAGACCUCUCUCAGACUGGAG
Sardina pilchardus (European sardine) is the source of this 276-nucleotide long non-coding RNA. RefSeq lists it as uncharacterized. The transcript has 3 exons. The record is from RefSeq and is a predicted model, not a curated record. Lineage: Eukaryota; Metazoa; Chordata; Actinopteri; Clupeiformes; Clupeidae.